Molecule: ribosomal RNA, 708 nt
Filed under: Pythium aphanidermatum
Lineage: Eukaryota; Oomycota; Peronosporomycetes; Pythiales; Pythiaceae
Description: eukaryotic LSU rRNA
Rfam family: Eukaryotic large subunit ribosomal RNA
Source: RNAcentral
AAUUUCCCCUAGUAACGGCGAGUGAAGCGGGAUGAGCUCAAGCUUAAAAUCUCUGUGUCAGUUUGGCAUGGCGAAUUGUAGUCUAUGGAGGCGCUGUCAGUGCGACUAUUCGGGGUAAGUUCCUUGGAAGAGGACAGCAUCGAGGGUGAUACUCCCGUAUGUACCUGUGUAGUUGCGCGUACGACACGUUUUCUUUGAGUCGCGUUGUUUGGGAAUGCAGCGCAAAGUAGGUGGUAAAUUCCAUCUAAAGCUAAAUAUUGGUGCGAGACCGAUAGCGAACAAGUACCGUGAGGGAAAGAUGAAAAGAACUUUGAAAAGAGAGUUAAAGAGUACCUGAAACUGCUGAAAGGGAACCGAAUCGUUUCCAGUGUCUAUAAUCUAUGGCAUAUUUCAUUGGCGCGUGGAUGUGUGUAGCGUUUUGGAAGUAGGUUUCUGCUCCUGGCGUUGCUUUGCGUUCGCUUGCUGGUGCCCUGUGCUGUAGUGGGACGUCAGAGUCAGUUCGUAUGUUGCGGGAAAUGGUUAUUGGGGAGGUAGGUCGCUUCGGUGGCUGUUAUAUCCUGGUAACUAGUCGUCGUGGCUGGGACUGAGGUGCCUACAAUGUGCUUUCGAGUCUGCGGGCCUCUCGUUUGGCUGUUUGCUUUGAUAGCUUGCUAUGUUAGUGAACGUGUCAGGCGAUUGAGACCUGUAGUAACUUGUGCCGUUCGGGAC